CCCACAUCCACCACGGCUCCCCCGUGCUACCUGCCUCCGUAGAAUCUGGCGCAGCUUCAGGCCUUGUUUCCCCCUGCACAGCGCCACCCGUCCCCUUCAUGCCUCCAGGGUACCCGGUGCGCCGCUCUUUGGCGGUCGACCGUAUGCGCAGCCAAGAGGGUCCACAUGCGCCGCGUCGGGAGUCCACCCGCUCUCACCUCGUUGAUUUUCCCGGCACGCUACCCUGCUCAAUCAACGGCCUGAGAAGCCAUCGCCAGGGCGCCCUUGGGACUCCAUCCUUUCUGACGCCAUCUACUAAUUUGCUGCUACUCGGUAUGUGUCCGUGAGAUUUUUUUUACAGAUUUUGUGUGUUUUGUUUGCAUCCCUGGCCGCCCAUCCUCUACUGCCGCCGGCCGGGUGGCGCCCCACAUAUCCACAGCAUCGCAUCGCGACGCCUCCUACUGCAUCACAUCGUCCCAGCUACUGCUUUGCGGCGGCCGCCCACCGCGAGCCCUUGCCUUAUCUACCGGCUGGAAGUUCACGAUGCGUGGCCCGCGUAGUUCACCACGCCUCGGUUAUUCACCGUUCCGCCCCCAGCAUCUCGGGCGCUCCGCUCCAGAAGUUCACGGCGCCCAUCUAUGGCAGUUGACCAUGUGCAGUAUCUUUGCACCCCCGGCCAGCGACGCCUACUUCCGCGGCCGUCAGUGCCUGGUCUCCUGUCUCCACUGGCUGCUGUGCACUUUCUCGCCCUGCCUAGCAUCUCCCUUGUAGUACCCGUGCGCAUCCGCAAAUUUAAGAAAGUUAAGAUUGAUCUAUUACGAAAGUUAAGAAAUAUGAUGGUUGCAAGUUCUUAAUUUUUGCAAGUAGUAGUUCUUAAUUUCAACAAUCAUCAAUGUAUAUGGCAAACCUCCUAUGUAAUGUACGCGGUCUCAUUCAAUAUUCCAGUUUCAUGUAGAUUUUUUUUGUAUGUCAAAACUAGUUAUUUUGCUUAUGCCACUGAAUAUCAUUUUUCGACUCACCUUUUGAUGAAUGAGGGUUCGAGUAAUUUGUUUUUCACAACAUUGGAACAAGCUAUAUAGGGUCUGAAGUAUUAUACGCGACGAGGAUAUGAAUUGAUGGCUUAUGCUUUAAAAUGAACCUCUUUAGCAAGAGGAGCAGCAUGAAUCUGCAUCUAUUUUUUGAAUGGAUGAUUGCACUAAAAAAUGAUUGUUAUGCAGUGCCUGUACUAAUACAAAAUAUAUGUCUGAAAGUGCACAUAGGAGAAAAUAGGUAGUUCAUUGUAUAUAAAAUAAUAGAAGUGCUCUUCAUUUUGUAACCUUGCCUUCUUCCGUCCAGAAAUUUCAUCACUAAGUUUGUUUGUUAUUCACAGAAAGUUCAUUCAUUAGAGGAAGUUCACUUUGGAUUGAAAAAUAGUUCUAUUAGGCCGCACAUGGAGCCUUCCAGUUGAAGAAGUUAUCCAGUCAUGUGUUGUUCCUCGAUUUGUGUAGUUUCUUACGAGAGAGGAUUUUCCCAACUGCAGUUUGAAGCCUCCAUCUGCGACGUGUGGCCCACGACCAAGAAGGCUUCCAUGCAGCCGCCGGGAGCCCAUACCAUUUAAGUGUGAAGAAUAGCUGGACGAGAGUCUCAGCCAUGUCGCUGGGCAGAACCCGGGGCCUAUACUGAGGGCCGCUCGUGCUAUGCAGUCCUGAGCAAGCCAUUCUCAACUCUAGUGACCGCUGCUUCGGACCUCUGUAUAGCACGGUGCCUCGGCAAAGUUCGCGCCUUUUUUUAAUUGAAAGUUCACUACAUAAGUGGGAAGGAGUUCAAUCCAAAGAAAUACAGCAGCUUGCUAUCAUUCAAAACUUGCUUACAUGAUUAGCUUACUUUUCGAAUAGAAGUUCCUUGCUUUCUAACUGAAGGUAGAUGUAGUUCUACUACUAAUAUGUCCUACUGUGUUAUCUCACCGAAUAUUUUUUUGGGCAGGUCUCGUCUCUUCUGGUCUUUGGGUCAUGCAUUGUGCAUGUUGCGUAAUGCCUGGAAGAUUGCUUUACCGCGACAUGAAGUUUGGUUUCCCAGGUGCAUGACUGUGAACUCUUAUGAGCGCCUCCGUGGACUCCCAGGCGGACCACUGCCAGACAACUUCACUCACUUCAUGGAAGCAAUAAUGUGUCAGGAGUCCAUGGCUUUGGCGAGUCUCUCAUGCCCAGGUCAUCCUGCUCCUCACAUUUGUCGACUAUCGUUGCUGCUAUGCGAAAUUCUAUUGCUGCAUGUGAUUUUAUUCUUGGUCGUACUUGCUUGUUUAUUGACAGCAUUGAGCAGUUCACUUGUUAAUUGUGAGCAACUCAAUUAGGCCAAAAUAGGCAGUGCACUUUCCUGUUAAAAAAGAUAGCAGAAAAUGCCCUCGGGUUACUUGUUAGUUUUAGGAAGUUCAUUCGUUCGGUUUAGACAGUGCACUUGCCAUUUCCAUCUAUUGGACUUAGAUAGUUGAUACGUCUCAAACGUAUCUAUAAUUUCUUAUGUUCCAUGCUAGUUUUAUGACAAUACCUACAUGUUUUGUU
This is a long non-coding RNA of Lolium rigidum, 2516 nucleotides long. RefSeq lists it as uncharacterized. The transcript is spliced from 3 exons. The record is from RefSeq and is a predicted model, not a curated record. NCBI's taxonomy places the organism in Eukaryota, Viridiplantae, Streptophyta, Magnoliopsida, Poales, Poaceae.